CGACAUAUAGGCAAUCCUGCUACAAAAUCUGUCACCCAUUGAUCGCCAGGGUUGAUUUGCCUAGGCUGGCUAGGUGGGUGUCCCCUUCCUCCCUCAACAUUCCAUGUGUGUCCUUCCAGAUGCUGUGUGAUGGGUCAACACUCUUCCUGUUGACAUUAGAAAUAGACCAUUCUUUGUUAGGGAGUAUAUGAGUAGCAGCAUUCCUAUGGGAUUUCUUUAGGGGGUAGUAGGGUACCUCUUGAUAUGUGUGUAAUUAUCACCAUUCCCACCACUUUCUUACUCUUAUUGUACAAAGCCUUAA
RNAcentral lists this small nuclear RNA (301 nucleotides) under Sorex araneus (European shrew). Its description in RNAcentral is "7SK RNA (ENSSARG00000019235.1)". It matches the Rfam family "7SK RNA". From Rfam's summary of the family: 7SK was discovered as an abundant small nuclear RNA in the mid-70s but a possible function has only recently been suggested. Two independent studies have found that 7SK RNA binds the CDK9/cyclin T complex (known as elongation factor P-TEFb). Lineage: Eukaryota; Metazoa; Chordata; Mammalia; Eulipotyphla; Soricidae. The record is from RNAcentral.